RNAcentral lists this ribosomal RNA (484 nucleotides) under uncultured bacterium. Its description in RNAcentral is "partial 16S ribosomal RNA". It matches the Rfam family "Bacterial small subunit ribosomal RNA", at positions 30 to 507 of the family's 1533-position model. The record is from RNAcentral.
AUUGAACGCUGGCGGCAGGCCUAACACAUGCAAGUCGAGCGGAUGAAGGGAGCUUGCUCCUGGAUUCAGCGGCGGACGGGUGAGUAAUGCCUAGGAAUCUGCCUGGUCGUGGGGGAUAACGUCCGGAAACGGGCGCUAAUACCGCAUACGUCCUGAGGGAGAAAGUGGGGGAUCUUCGGACCUCACGCUAUCAGAUGAGCCUAGGUCGGAUUAGCUAGUUGGUGGGGUAAAGGCCUACCAAGGCGACGAUCCGUAACUGGUCUGAGAGGAUGAUCAGUCACACUGGAACUGAGACACGGUCCAGACUCCUACGGGAGGCAGCAGUGGGGAAUAUUGGACAAUGGGCGAAAGCCUGAUCCAGCCAUGCCGCGUGUGUGAAGAAGGUCCUCGGAUUGUAAAGCACUUUAAGUUGGGAGGAAGGGCAGUAAGUUAAUACCUUGCUGUUUUGACGUUACCAACAGAAUAAGCACCGGCUAACUUCGUG